AUUGAACGCUGGCGGCAUGCUUUACACAUGCAAGUCGAACGGUAACAGGGAGCUUGCUCCGCUGACGAGCGGCGAACGGGUGAGUAAUAUAUCGGAACGUACCCAAGAGUGGGGGAUAACGUAGCGAAAGUUACGCUAAUACCGCAUACGAUCCAAGGAUGAAAGCAGGGGAUCUUCGGAUCUUGUGCUCCUGGAGCGGCCGAUAUCUGAUUAGAUAGUGGGUGAGGUAAAGGCUCACCAAGGCGACGAUAAGUAGUUGGUCUGAGAGGACGCCCAGCCACACUGGAACUGUGACGCGGUCCAGACUCCUACGGGAGGCAGCAGUGGGGAAUUUUGGACAAUGGGCGCAAGCCUGAUCCAGCAAUGCCACGUGAGUGAAGAAGGCCUUCGGGUUGUAAAGCUCUUUUGUCAGGGAAGAAACGGGAGUGGCUAAUAUCCAUUCCUAAUGACGGUACCUGAAGAAUAAGCACCGGCUAACUACGUGCCAGCAGCCGCCGUAA
This 500-nucleotide ribosomal RNA is filed under the name uncultured bacterium. RNAcentral's name for it is "partial 16S ribosomal RNA". It matches the Rfam family "Bacterial small subunit ribosomal RNA", at positions 30 to 523 of the family's 1533-position model. The record is from RNAcentral.